UCAAGUGACUAAGCGUGCACGGUGGAUGCCUUGGCAUCUGGAGGCGAUGAAAGACGUAGUAGCCUGCGAUAAGCUUCGGGGAGGUGGCAAACAACCUUUGAUCCGGAGAUCUCUGAAUGGGGAAACCCACCUGUCAUAAGGCAGGUAUCGUAUACUGAAUACAUAGGUAUACGAGGCGAACGCGGAGAACUGAAACAUCUAAGUACCCGCAGGAAAAGAAAUCAACCGAGAUUCCCUUAGUAGUGGCGAGCGAACGGGGACCAGCCCUUAAGCUGUUUUGUAGUUAGUAGAACGCUCUGGAAAGUGCGACCGUAGUGGGUGAUAGUCCCGUAUACGAAAACUUAUAAGCAGUGAAAACGAGUAGGUCGGGACACGUGUUAUCCUGACUGAAUAUGGGGGGACCAUCCUCCAAGGCUAAAUACUCCCAGAUGACCGAUAGUGAACUAGUACCGUGAGGGAAAGGCGAAAAGAACCCCUGUGAGGGGAGUGAAAUAGAUCCUGAAACCGUGUACGUACAAGCAGUGGGAGCCGACUUAGUUCGGUGACUGCGUACCUUUUGUAUAAUGGGUCAGCGACUUAAUGUUAGUGGCAAGGUUAAGCGAAUAGCGGAGCCGUAGGGAAACCGAGUGUUAACUGCGCGUCCAGUCGCUAGCAUUAGACCCGAAACCGGGCGAUCUAUCCAUGAGCAGGUUGAAGGUUGAGUAACAUCAACUGGAGGACCGAACCCACUACCGUUGAAAAGUUAGGGGAUGACUUGUGGAUAGGAGUGAAAGGCUAAUCAAGCCCGGAGAUAGCUGGUUCUCCUCGAAAACUAUUUAGGUAGUGCCUCGUGUCUAACCAUGGGGGGUAGAGCACUGUUAAGGCUAGGGGGUCAUCUCGACUUACCAACCCUUUGCAAACUCCGAAUACCCAUGAGUUCAAUCACGGGAGACACACGGCGGGUGCUAACGUCCGUCGUGAAAAGGGAAACAACCCAGACCGUCAGCUAAGGUCCCAAAAUCCAUGUUAAGUGGGAAACGAUGUGGGAAGGCUUAGACAGCUAGGAGGUUGGCUUAGAAGCAGCCACCCUUUAAAGAAAGCGUAAUAGCUCACUAGUCGAGUCGGCCUGCGCGGAAGAUAUAACGGGGCUCAAACUGUACACCGAAGCUACGGAUGCCAUUUAUGGCAUGGUAGAGGAGCGUUCUGUAAGCCGUCGAAGGUCAAGGUGUGAACCAGGCUGGAGGUAUCAGAAGUGCGAAUGCUGACAUGAGUAACGAUAAUGGGAGUGAAAAACUCCCACGCCGGAAACCCAAGGGUUCCUGUCCAACGUUAAUCGGGGCAGGGUUAGUCGGCCCCUAAGGCGAGGCUGAAAAGCGUAGUCGAUGGGAAGCAAGUUAAUAUUCUUGCACCUCUUUAUAAUGCGAUGGGGGGACGGAGAAGGCUAGGCCAGCACAGCGUUGGUUGUCUGUGUUUAAGGUGGUAGGCAGAGGACUUAGGCAAAUCCGGGUCCUUAAUGCCGAGAACUGAUGACGGUGACUCUACGGAGUCCGAAGUGGUCGAUGCCAUGCUUCCAGGAAAAGCCUCUAAGCUUCAGUUAUAAAGAGACCGUACCCCAAACCGACACAGGUGGGUAGGUAGAGAAUACCAAGGCGCUUGAGAGAACUCGGGUGAAGGAACUAGGCAAAAUGGCACCGUAACUUCGGGAGAAGGUGCGCCGGUUAGGGUGAAGGACUUGCUCCGUAAGCUCUGGCCGGUCGAAGAUACCAGGUGGCUGCGACUGUUUAUUAAAAACACAGCACUCUGCAAACACGAAAGUGGACGUAUAGGGUGUGACGCCUGCCCGGUGCCGGAAGGUUAAUUGAUGGGGUUAUCUUCGGAGAAGCUCUUGAUCGAAGCCCCGGUAAACGGCGGCCGUAACUAUAACGGUCCUAAGGUAGCGAAAUUCCUUGUCGGGUAAGUUCCGACCUGCACGAAUG
RNAcentral lists this ribosomal RNA (1955 nucleotides) under marine metagenome. RNAcentral describes it as "bacterial LSU rRNA". It matches the Rfam family "Bacterial large subunit ribosomal RNA", at positions 3 to 1998 of the family's 2925-position model. The record is from RNAcentral.